GCUCUGUGGUAGACAGUGAAAGUGAAAGUGCAUCAGGGCGUUUUCAGCGACUGGAGGGAGUUUUCUUGAUUCUGCAGCAGAUUGUGGGGCCGACAUGUCAGACGCGUCCACAUCCAGAGACUAUCAGUCCAUUUCAGACAUGCCGCAGAUAUAUCCAGAGUCCUGGAGUAAGUUCUUUCUGGUCCUGACUGGAAAAACGAACGACACUCAUGGAGACUUUGUAAACAUGAUUAAAAACAACGGACACACUGAGGUCACCGCUCCUGAAGAAUGUGACUACUGUCUGCUCUUCUGUCCCAUCACUUC
This is a long non-coding RNA of Hippoglossus stenolepis (Pacific halibut), 306 nucleotides long. RefSeq lists it as uncharacterized. The record is from RefSeq and is a predicted model, not a curated record. NCBI's taxonomy places the organism in Eukaryota, Metazoa, Chordata, Actinopteri, Pleuronectiformes, Pleuronectidae. The transcript has 3 exons.